This is a long non-coding RNA of Carassius carassius (crucian carp), 515 nucleotides long. RefSeq lists it as uncharacterized. The record is from RefSeq and is a predicted model, not a curated record. NCBI's taxonomy places the organism in Eukaryota, Metazoa, Chordata, Actinopteri, Cypriniformes, Cyprinidae. The transcript has 2 exons.
UGAGGGCCACUAAUGAAGAAAAGUGAAGACUUCUUAAGUCUGCAGUUUGAAAUGAAGUAAACUGCAUACAGUCCAAGGAGUGGAAAUUCUGGAUGACUACUGUUCAUUACAUUUCUGUAUGCAGAAUUUAAAACAGUCAAGUGGUUGGAAAAUCAAUUCCAGCUGAAUUUAAGAGUUUGUCUAGCUGUAAAUCUGUGGUUUACUAUUAUUUUCUAUGUAUAAGACAACUGCUUGAUGUAAUGUAAAUGUACAAAAUGUGUAAAAGUUCUUAUAGAAGUGGUUGCAUGGUGUAUAGGCCUACAAAUAAAUAAAUAAAUCUAAGAAUCAUUUAUUUUGUGAAGAAGCAAAAAUGGUUGAAUCAGUUGUUCUUUUGUUGUCUAUGGUGGACGUCUGACAAACAUGCUCAAACUUCAGUGUGCAUUGAAAUCUAUUUGCUUUUGUAAUAAAACAAAUUUCAUCAGUGCAAUACAUUUUAAUUUACAACAAAAUAUCAGAGUUACUUUUUCGAAUAAGUA